AUCCAGCUGACGAGUCUUGAAUCGGAUGAGACAUGUGUCCUGGAU
Molecule: non-coding RNA, 45 nt
Organism: Schistosoma mattheei
Lineage: Eukaryota; Metazoa; Platyhelminthes; Trematoda; Strigeidida; Schistosomatidae
Source: Rfam